Molecule: ribosomal RNA, 254 nt
Filed under: uncultured bacterium
Lineage: Bacteria
Description: partial 16S ribosomal RNA
Rfam family: Bacterial small subunit ribosomal RNA
Source: RNAcentral
GACGUAGGGCGCGAGCGUUGUCCGGAUUUAUUGGGCGUAAAGAGCUCGUAGGCGGUUUGUCGCGUCUGCCGUGAAAGUCCGGGGCUCAACUCCGGAUCUGCGGUGGGUACGGGCAGACUAGAGUGAUGUAGGGGAGACUGGAAUUCCUGGUGUAGCGGUGAAAUGCGCAGAUAUCAGGAGGAACACCGAUGGCGAAGGCAGGUCUCUGGGCAUUAACUGACGCUGAGGAGCGAAAGCAUGGGGGAGCGAACAGG